CCCUUAGAUGUUCUGGGCCGCACGCGUGCUACACUGACCGGCGCAACAAGCUUCUUUCCUUGGCUCGAUAGGCCUGGGUAAUCUUUGAACGCCGGUCGUGAUGGGGAUAGAUCCUUGCAAUUUUUGAUCUUCAACGAGGAAUUCCUAGUAAAUGCGAGUCAUCAUCUCGCGUUGAUUACGUCCCUGCCCUUUGUACACACCGCCCGUCGCACCUACCGAUUGAAUGGUCCGGUGAAGCCUCGGGAUUGCGUAUGCUUCGCGCGGACGCGGGAACUUGGCUAAACCUUACCAUUUAGAGGAAGGUGAAGUCGUAACA
RNAcentral lists this ribosomal RNA (316 nucleotides) under uncultured eukaryote. Its description in RNAcentral is "partial 18S ribosomal RNA". It matches the Rfam family "Eukaryotic small subunit ribosomal RNA", at positions 1470 to 1796 of the family's 1831-position model. The record is from RNAcentral.